RNAcentral lists this long non-coding RNA (212 nucleotides) under Mytilus galloprovincialis (Mediterranean mussel). Lineage: Eukaryota; Metazoa; Mollusca; Bivalvia; Mytilida; Mytilidae. The record is from RNAcentral.
CACGAACUCCACUUAAAACCGGGAUUGAAAUCAUGUGCUCCGAAAGGGUAAUCAUUUCCUGCACGUAUACGGCACCUGUCGUGUUAUUUCUUUGUUCAGUUCGGUAAAUAUGGAAGGUUACUAUAACUGAGGAAGAAUAUCAGAUAUGAUUUCUAACACACUUUUGUCAUAAUGAGCUGAUUGGCGGUCGUAAAAUUUCUUGAGUGAUGACC